AUCCCUCUGCCAUGUUCGUGUUGCCGAUGUCCCUUUUGGUGAGCCGGUAAGAAAGCCCGUUGGGCGCCAGCUUUACCUGGCCGCGUGUAUAGCCGCCGCCCGGACAAUCUGUCCGGAACCAGCGGUCGGAUCACACAACCCGGGUAGUCCGGCGCCCCCUUAUUAAUUGCGGGCUCUCAAAAACGCAUCGCCACGGCAUUGCGGUGGAGGGUUC
This 214-nucleotide non-coding RNA is filed under the name Planctomycetota bacterium. Its description in RNAcentral is "Planctomycetes bacterium (groundwater metagenome) 6S RNA". It matches the Rfam family "6S / SsrS RNA". Rfam says of the family: E. coli 6S RNA was the first non coding RNA to be sequenced, but its function was unknown until recently. It consists of 184 nucleotides that fold into an extended hairpin structure with a large single-stranded internal bulge. The record is from RNAcentral. Lineage: Bacteria; Pseudomonadati; Planctomycetota.